This 468-nucleotide ribosomal RNA is filed under the name uncultured bacterium. RNAcentral describes it as "partial 16S ribosomal RNA". It matches the Rfam family "Bacterial small subunit ribosomal RNA", at positions 28 to 507 of the family's 1533-position model. The record is from RNAcentral.
GACGAACGCUGGCGGCGUGCUUAAUACAUGCAAGUCGAACGGAAAGGCCCUGCUUUUGUUGGGUUCUCGUUUGGCGAACGGGUGAGUAACACGUGAGUAACCUGCCCUUGACUUUGGGAUAACUUCAGGGAACUGGGGCUCAUACCGGGUAGGAUCUCCUGCUGCAUGUUGUGGGAUGGAAAGUUUCGGCGGUUGUGGCUGGACUCGCGGCUUAUCAGCUUGUUUGUGUGGUAGUGGCUUACCAAGGCUUUGACGGGUAGCCGGCCUGAGAGGGUGAACGGCGACAAUAGGACUGCGAUAGGGACCAGAAUGCAACGGGCGGCAGCAGUGGGGAGUCUUGCAGAGUGGGCGGAAGCCUGAUGUGAAGACCCCGCGUGCGUGAUGCCGGCUUUCGGGUUGUAAACAGAUUUGUAAGGUGACGAACAGUGCGUGACGGUAAUGGGUAAGGAAGCACCGGCUAACUACGUG